GUCUCCGAUUCCCGAGCAUCGUUUCUAUUCUUGUUUUUCACGCCGGCCGCCGUGGCUUCUGGAGCUCCGGUGAGGCCGUUGGCAUCCCUCCGCCGCUGCUGCCAGUGCGUCGAUGACGUAUCCGGACGGAUCAUGUCCUUGCGUUUGAAUGCUUUCUCGUUCUCUGGCUUUCUUUCUUUCUUGUUAACCCUAGAAACCCUAAUCUAUUGAUUGCCUUGGUUUCGUCGAUGGUGGGUGACUUCUGAUCUUCCUCGCUUGCAGGGAUUGCGUUUCAUCCAAGUUGUUCAGUUUUGUAAGGAAUGGAUCCUGAAGAUAAAGAGUUUUCCAGAGCCUUUGGCUCAAAUGCAUCAUCAAGUGCUAUAAGCACUCCAGAAGAAAAUGGACACAUCCAUGAGAGUGCAAAUGGUGAAGAAAGCCUUCAAGAGUUUUUGAAAACCAAUCCAAGGAAGGAGCUUAGUCAUUCAAGCCUUGAGAAGGAGAGGAAGCUAGCUCAAUCAAAAGGUAAGGUGUCCGAAGAACUCUCCAAGGUAGUAGCAAGUUUCAAAGGAUGCAAGAACUUGGGGAUGAAGAAACAUUUUUCAAGUAAUUCAUCUGCUGCAAAUGGUCAUACCCCUAAAAAACAUCCAAGGAGGGGUGAACACCCUAUUAUGCUUCCACCUGUGGAGGGUUUGUUGGACUUAAAAUAUGACAGGACUUGGAUUUGUAAGAAUUCGGCUUGUAAGGCAAAAUUGACUGCGGAGGACACAUUUUGUAAGAGGUGCUCUUGUUGUAUCUGUCAUCACUUUGAUGACAAUAAGGACCCAAGUCUUUGGUUGGUCUGUUCAUCAGAAACAGAUGACCAGGAUUGGUGUGGUUUGUCUUGCCACAUUGAAUGUGCUUUCCAACGUCAAAAAGUUGGAGUUAUUGAUCUUGGGCAAUCAAUACAGCUUGAUGGAAGCUACUGCUGUGCUUCUUGUGGAAAAGUUUCUGGAAUAUUAGGAUAUUGGAAGAAGCAACUAUUAAUAGCUAAAGAUGCUCGGCGGGUGGAUGUUCUCUGCUACCGCAUAUUUUUAAGCUACAGGCUAUUAGAGGGCACUUCCCAGUUCAGGGAACUGCAUGAAUUUGUUGAAGAUGCGAAGGCAAAACUUGAAACAGAAGUUGGACCAGUCAAUGGAGUUUCAGCAAAGAUGGCUCGAGGAAUUGUGAGCAGGCUCUCAGUUGCUGUCGAAGUGCAGAGGCUUUGCUCUCUUGCAAUUGAAAAGGCGGAUGAGUGGCUCUGCUCUACCUCUCAUUCACACCUAAAGCUCAGAGAUUCACUUCCUGCAGCUUGCAAGUUCCAGUUUGAAGAAGUAACAUCUUCUUCUCUAGUUAUUGUUUUGAAAGAGACCUCUUCUGCUUCUGACUCUAUAAAAGGUUACAAACUUUGGUACUGCAAUAGCAGAGAGCUACCAUACUCAAAUGAUCCUGUUGUCUUCCCAAGAGUUCAAAGACGGAUUCUGAUUUCUAACCUCCAACCAUGCACAGAGUAUGCCUUUCGGAUUAUUUCAUUUACAGAUGACGGAGACCUUGGUCACUCUGAAGCAAAAUGUUUUACCAAGAGUGUGGAGAUAAUCCAGAAGAAUACUGAGCAGAAUGGUGCCGAAGGAUGCUCAUCUAGUGCAAAGAGAGGAACCAAAGCUCCAACAAAUGGGUCUUCCGGCUUUAAAGUUCGAAAUCUUGGGAAAAUUUUGCGUCAAGCAUGGGCUCAAGACGAAGGUUGCUGUGAUUGGCUCUCCAAUGAUGAUGUAGAAGAAGACUCAGAUGGUGGAAGUGAUGCAAUGAGACCUGAUGGUGCUGAAGAGGACCAUGCUGAGCCAACUGUAUCACGUCGGCUUGACUUGAAUGUGGUAUCGGUUCCUGAUCUUAAUGUUGAUGCGACUCCACCACCUGAGAGCUCUCCUGAAGUAGAGAAUGUAUGCAGUUCAGAGAAGAACGGACAGGCUCGAUCCAAUGGUAGUGGUGAUUCCCAGACUUGUGCGGCUAGACUAGUUGAAGAGGUACCAGCAGUGGAGUCUCGACCAGAGUCACGGAAACGAGGAGCAAGCACGCAAGAUGAAACUUAUGAUGGUGGUAGCACAUUGGUUGUUGGUUCACCUCUUAGAUUUUCAAAAGGCCAUGGCCAGUUGGAUGACAACUAUGAGUACUGUGUGAAGGUCAUAAGAUGGCUAGAAUGCCAAGGGCACAUCGAGAAGGAUUUCCGAAUGAAGUUCUUAACCUGGUUUAGCAUGAGAUCCUCUGCGCAAGAGCGUCGGGUAGUGAUUACCUUUAUCAGAACCCUGAUCGAAGAACCCAGUAGCCUCGCCGGACAGCUACUAGAUUCUUUUCUGGAGAUUGUGACAUGCAAGAUGCCGCGGAUUGGUUUCUGUAGUAAGUUAUGGCAUUGACAUGAGUUGUAGCAGCCAAGAUGGUGGGUUUCUGCUUAUUGUUUUGGGAGUAGGUGGAUAGGUGGAUGCUGCGCUGCAGUGGGUGUUUUUUUUUUUUUAAUUUAUUUUUCAGCUAGUUUUUUCAACUCCAUCAAAGUAUUAAAUUAUUUUUCGGAGAAUUAUUGGAAAUUUUAGUUGGUGUGUUGCAUGGGAUAGAUCACGGAGAUGCUUUUAUACCCCAUAUUGCCUCCCUUGUAAUCAUCCUUUAUGGUGGUGGCUAAAUUAUGGAAAGAUUAAUAUUUAUAUAUAUUGCUGUUUGAUUCUUUAUUAUACU
RNA transcript from Dioscorea cayenensis subsp. rotundata (Guinea yam), 2715 nucleotides. It is a transcript of the gene named VIN3-like protein 1, with no coding region annotated. NCBI's taxonomy places the organism in Eukaryota, Viridiplantae, Streptophyta, Magnoliopsida, Dioscoreales, Dioscoreaceae. The record is from RefSeq and is a predicted model, not a curated record. The transcript has 6 exons.